AAGCCAGACUCCUACGGGAGGCAGCAGUGAGGAAUAUUGGUCAAUGGGCGAGAGCCUGAACCAGCCAAGUCGCGUGAAGGAUGACGGCCCUACGGGUUGUAAACUUCUUUUGUCAGGGAGCAAUUGAGUCCACGUGUGGUCUUAGCGAGAGUACCUGAAGAAAAAGCAUCGGCUAACUCCGUGCCAGCAGCCGCGGUAAUACGGAGGAUGCGAGCGUUAUCCGGAUUUACUGGGUGUAAAGGGCGUGUAGGCGGGCCUGUAAGUCAGAAGUGAAAUCUGGGGGCUUAACCCCCAAACUGCUUUUGAAACUGCGGGUCUUGAGUGAUGGAGAGGCAGGCGGAAUUCCCAGUGUAGCGGUGAAAUGCGUAGAUAUUGGGAGGAACACCAGUGGCGAAGGCGGCCUGCUGGACAUUAACUGACGCUGAGGCGCGAAAGCGUGGGGAGCAAACAGGAUUAGAUACCCCCGUAU
Molecule: ribosomal RNA, 469 nt
Filed under: uncultured bacterium
Lineage: Bacteria
Description: bacterial SSU rRNA
Rfam family: Bacterial small subunit ribosomal RNA
Source: RNAcentral